UACGGAGGGUGCAAGCGUUAUCCGGAUUUACUGGGCUUAAAGGGUGCGCAGGCGGUUAUGUAAGUCAGUGGUGAAAUCUCUAGGCUUAACCUGGAAAUUGCCGUUGAUACUAUAUAUCUUGAAUGUUGUGGAGGUAAGCAGAAUAUGUCAUGUAGCGGUGAAAUGCUUAGAUAUGACAUAGAAUACCUAUUGCGAAGGCAGCUUACUACGCAGAUAUUGACGCUCAUGCACGAAAGCGUGGGGAUCAAACAGG
RNAcentral lists this ribosomal RNA (253 nucleotides) under uncultured bacterium. Its description in RNAcentral is "partial 16S ribosomal RNA". It matches the Rfam family "Bacterial small subunit ribosomal RNA", at positions 524 to 776 of the family's 1533-position model. The record is from RNAcentral.